UCAGAACGAACGCUGGCGGCGUGGAUUAGGCAUGCAAGUCGAACGAGAAAAGUUCCUUCGGGAACUGAGUAGAGUGGCAAACGGGUGAGUAACGCGUGGGAAACCUGCCCUUUGGUUGGGGAUAACACUCCUAACGGAGUGCUAAUACCGGAUAAGAUCAUUUCAUCACAUGAUGAAUUGAUGAAAGGCGGCCUCUAUUUAUAAGCUGUCGCCGAAGGAUGGUCCCGCGUCCCAUUAGCUUGUUGGUGAGGUAACGGCUCACCAAGGCAUCGAUGGGUAGCCGGCCUUAGCGGGUGAUCGGCCACACUGGGACUGAGAUACGGCCCAGACUCCUACGGGAGGCAGCAGUCGAGAGGCUUCCACAAUGGGGGAAACCCUGAUGGAGCGACGCCGCGUGGGUGAUGAAGGUUUUCGGAUCGUAAAGCCCUUUCAGCAGGGACGAUGGUUUCAUUUGAUAAUACCUUAUGAAUCUGGACGGUACCUGCAUAAGAAGCUCCGGCUAACUCCGUGCCAGCAGCCGCGGUAAGACGGGGGGAGCAAGCGUUGUUCGGAUUUACUGGGCGUAAAGGGCGUCUAGGCGGGCUUGUAAGUCAGGU
This 596-nucleotide ribosomal RNA is filed under the name marine sediment metagenome. RNAcentral's name for it is "SSU rRNA". It matches the Rfam family "Bacterial small subunit ribosomal RNA", at positions 24 to 593 of the family's 1533-position model. The record is from RNAcentral.